ACGGUGGGGUGCGGGGUCCUGAGCCCCUCUGCCUCGGUGGCCCGGCAGCGCGCAGACAGGCUUUGCUCCUGCAUCCGCGGCAGGGCGAGGGCCCCGCGCGUUUCCCCGUCGGGGUUCACAGCCGCGGGGCUCUGAAAUGAGGAGAGGCGGUGGCUUUUUCUUCGCGGAAGGCUGCGUUGAUUGAGGUGUUGCUGUCCGGCUGUUGCUGCUUUUUGGUCCCUUUCACCCAUUUGACUGUCAUUUGUAAGGCAACGAAAACUACAAAUAAAUAGCAGUAUGUGUGCUUCAUCACAUAAGCAUGGAUGAUCAGAUUAAGUCAAUAUUUGCAUGCACUGAGUGUUACCUCAGCCUUGGAAUGGAUGGCUUUGGCCAUCUGGUUGGUAUUCUUGGACACCCUGCCACAGCUUAUGGAUUUCGCCCUGAUGAACCUUACUACUAUGGUUAUGGGUCUCAGUAAAAUCAUCCCUUCCUCUGUUUACUCUCAGCUUAGAAGAAACCUUCAUGGAUUGGAUUAACUUUCACCUUGACCUAAUAACACAUGUCUAUCCUAUUAUGGCUCUGUGUUUCUUAUUCUUCCCUGUUGUUUCCUGAGAUUAACUCCAGCCUCCUCUGUCUUCUCUUGAGUGCAGUUGAUGCUAACACUGUUCGCUCUCCAACCACAUCUUAAAGCUGAAUAAAAUUUCCCC
This is a non-coding RNA of Heterocephalus glaber (naked mole-rat), 686 nucleotides long. Lineage: Eukaryota; Metazoa; Chordata; Mammalia; Rodentia; Bathyergidae. The record is from RefSeq and is a predicted model, not a curated record.